Molecule: long non-coding RNA, 824 nt
Organism: Planococcus citri (citrus mealybug)
Lineage: Eukaryota; Metazoa; Arthropoda; Insecta; Hemiptera; Pseudococcidae
Exons: 2
Source: RefSeq, a predicted model, not a curated record
CAUUUCGAAUUAUUUACGACGAAUAAUUAUGCAAAAAUCACAACAUUUCUUUUUAUUUUCAAACGUCUCGAUCUGACAUAGACCUGAGUAUUAUCGAGAUAACCAAAACAAAACGAUAUCAUGUUGAUCAAAUUUUAUAAUAAAAUACUAGACAAACAUCACCGAAUCGAAUGCUUUAAAUAGGGCUGCCGAAAGAGAGAAAAAAUCAUUACGUAUUCUGUUUUCAAAACGAGCAGUUCGGUUGUAAUUUGGAAAGAAAAAUGCAUCAGUGGUCAAAUAGAAAAAUGAAAGAGCUAGAUCCUAAGCCCAUAAUACCUGAAGAACGAUGUUAUGAACAAGUGAUAAAGUGCAACUGCAUCAUCAAGGAAAGAGACGUGUAUCAUCCACCUAAUCCUCCACCUGAUCCUCCACCACGAAUACAAACCUCUUGUCCCGAUUGGCCAUCCGUAGAAAGAGACUCUAGAUCCGUUUCAGUUUUUGACCCCAACAGAGGCAUCCCUUUGUAUCCAUCAGUUGGUCCAAAUCAAACCUUAGUGAAUCAUCGAGAAUACAUGUUUGACCCCAACAGAGGCAUCCCACAUUAUCCACCAGUUGAUCCAAAUCAAACCUUUGUGAAUCAUCAAGAAUACAUCAUGCCACAGCCAUUGGCUCAAAGAACGGACAACAAAACCAUCAAAAAACAAGACACGGCUAAACGAAAAAGGAGCAGUAAUUGUACACUUUUUUGAGCAGCUAGAAGGGUCGUACAGAAUCGCUUUAAUAAUCAAAUAAGUGAUACCUAAAAUUUAUUAUUUUCAUGUUGAAUAAACAAAUUUUUAAAUGUA